GGGGAUGUGGCCCAGUGGUAGAGCACUUGCCUACUUGUACAAGCCCCUGGGUGGAACCCAGGGCACCCCCA
This 71-nucleotide transfer RNA is filed under the name Marmota monax (woodchuck). RNAcentral's name for it is "tRNA.Undet". Lineage: Eukaryota; Metazoa; Chordata; Mammalia; Rodentia; Sciuridae. The record is from RNAcentral.